GUGGUGUAAAUGGUUAACAUGUUCAGUUGCUAACCGAAAGGUUGGAGGUUCAAGUCCACCC
This 61-nucleotide transfer RNA is filed under the name Loxodonta africana (African savanna elephant). It matches the Rfam family "tRNA", at positions 7 to 64 of the family's 71-position model. Rfam says of the family: Transfer RNA (tRNA) molecules are approximately 80 nucleotides in length. Their secondary structure includes four short double-helical elements and three loops (D, anti-codon, and T loops). Lineage: Eukaryota; Metazoa; Chordata; Mammalia; Proboscidea; Elephantidae. The record is from Rfam by way of RNAcentral.